UAAUGCCGUUGAGUUGAGGAGACCCAACCCCUUUCUCCUCCCAGCUGUUCAUAGCUGUCCAAUCUCUCUCUCAUCCAUGUGACCCCACUGCAAAACACACAUAGAUGCAGAUACCCCAGAGAUUUAUUGGGAUUUUAAAACCUCCAUAAACAUUUUUUCUUUAAAAAUUCAUUUUUUUCUUCUUCUUCUCCUCCUUCUUCCUUUCUCAUUAGACCCUUUAAGCCUCAAACCUUCUUCCAUUUAACAUGCUUUCAUCUCCAACUAUAUAUAAUUAUAUGUGCAUAUAGAUAGACAUAAUAUAUACCAGCAUUGUGUUUGUGUAUGGUUUGGUUUGGUUUGAUUUGAGAUAUUUAUAUACAUAGUCUUCUUCUGUUCCUUUCUCUCUAAUUCUACUUCAUCAUCAUCUUCCUGAGAGAUUGUGUUGAUUGGUGUCACUCAAAAUGGCUCAAUUGCCACCAAAAGUUCCAAACAUGACACCCAAUUGGCCAGACUUUUCUUCUCCUCACCAAAAGAUGCCUUCCUUCAAAACCAUGGCACCAAACAUCUCAAACCAAAACCCUUCAUGGGUGGAUGAGUUUCUUGACUUCUCAGCCGCCAGACGCGGUGCUCACCGGCGCUCGGUGAGUGACUCCGUCGCCUUCCUGGAGGCACCAAUGCUGGAUCAUCACUGUAAAAGCCGCGGGAGUGAUGGUGGUGGUGACAAUGAGAACGAGUUCGAGAGGUUUGAUGACGAACAAUUCAUGUCCAUGUUCAGUGAUGAGGCUUCAGGGAAUAAUAAUAGUAAUAAUAUUAUUGAUAAUGAUAAUAAUAAUAAUAUCAACAACUAUCAUAGUAAUAAUAGCACCAUGAUGGCAUUCACGGUUUCCUGCUCCAACCCUUCUACACCCUCUGAUCACAACAGCAUCAACGAUGAGAAGGAUAUGAACAAGGAAAAGGAGGAGGAGCAAGAGACGAAGCAAGUGAAGAAUGAGUCAGAUGAGGAUGAAAGCCAAUGCAAGCAAGAAAUCACACAAAACCCCGAUGAUUGUAAUAAUAGUAACGCAAAUGCAGCAACUUGUUCCAGUGAGAAAAUCACAGACCCCAAGAGGGUCAAAAGAAUCUUGGCAAAUAGACAAUCGGCACAGAGAUCAAGAGUGAGGAAGCUGCAAUACAUUUCUGAGCUUGAACGAAGUGUGACUUCAUUACAGGCUGAAGUUUCUGUAUUGUCUCCGCGAGUUGCAUUUUUGGAUCAUCAACGUUUGCUUCUAAAUGUUGACAACAGUGCUUUGAAGCAAAGAAUCGCCGCGCUGGCUCAAGACAAGAUCUUCAAAGAUGCACAUCAAGAAGCACUGAAGAGGGAGAUAGAGAGACUGAGGCAAGUGUAUCACCAACAAAACAUAAAGAAGAUGGACAAUGCUGCAGGAUCAACAUCCCAAUCACCAUUACCAUCUCCAAAACCACGAUGUGACACACUCACUGAAAAGGAACAACUUAUCAAUGUCUGAAGUUUGAAUCCUCCCUUGAACACUGACUGAACCUGUGUAGACUUUGAUCAAAGAUGUGAAACAUAUUAUGGAUUGUGAUAGAAGAAUAAGACUAAAAGUAGUUAUAAAAGUUGGUAAGAAGAAAAAGGGUGAUGAAUGGCAUGACGUAGUGAUGGGUGAGAGAUUUUAUUAGGCAAUUGAUGAAGGAAAUGUUCAUAAUGGAGACAUUGGUGGUGGUAGGCUUUUGCUAUCAAACUGAGGCAGUCACGUGAUGUGUUUGCUUUAAAGAAAGGGACCACUCAAGUUGCAUGAUUGGAAUGCAGGGAAACACAUGUGCACCAGUGACAUCAAAGAAAAAAACAGUUGUGUCUGCUUUAACUACAUGGGAGAGGGAGGUAUCUGUCGGAGAUUCUUUCAGUUUUUUUUUUCUUUUUUUUUUUUAUAAUGAUUGUGUUAUUGUUCUUUGUCUUGAAUCUGGAUUCUUUUCGAUUUUUGUUUAUAUUUUGUUGGGGGGUUCAGUUCAAGUUGGAAAACAAAGACAAGUGGACGUGUGUGUUGGGAUGGAUGAAAGGAAGGUAUGUCAUUGUCAGUGAAAGUGUUGGCUCCUCUGGGUUUUGUUGUACUUUGUGUUACUGCUUUGAAGGGUUGUGAUUAUCUUUAUUUGGCAUGUUAAUUUGAAGGGGAAACAAAAAUCAAAGUGUAAAUAUUUAGUUAACUUGAUAAGAUUCUUGUAGUAUAUGGUGAAGUUUUAACUGUUGCAAGAA
Vigna radiata var. radiata (mung bean) is the source of this 2227-nucleotide RNA transcript. It is a transcript of the gene named basic leucine zipper 34, with no coding region annotated. The transcript is spliced from 5 exons. The record is from RefSeq and is a predicted model, not a curated record. Lineage: Eukaryota; Viridiplantae; Streptophyta; Magnoliopsida; Fabales; Fabaceae.